UUUUAGCUCUUGCAGUUUGUGAUUACCGUGUGAAAGGCUCUUACGGAUUUUAGGUUUGGCUUUGGAAGGAAGAGGAAGAUGCGUUUAUUUUUUAUGACUUCUAAACCCUCAAGUUUGUCCGUCUAAAUGCUUCAACCGCCAUUCAAGCAAAGGAUUCCCACAUUCUUCAAAAUAAGGAGAGGCUGCUUACUUUGGAGAAGCAGCUUAAUCAUUCAUCCAAGCAUACCGAUGUUUUUGUCAAAGUUUAGCAAAUUAUUGCAGAAACAAUGGGAGCCUUGGGCCUUUCAUUUAUUAAACUGACUAAGUUUGAAAACCAACAUGCCUUUGCACCUACCCGGGCUUGCUAACAUGAAGAAUCUUGCUACUGGUGCCAAUUAAAUGAAGAAUCUUGCUACUGGUGCCAAUUAAUACCAGUAGACUUUUCCGGGAAUUAAGUUCAGAACUGUUAUACAUAUGGAUACACUGCAUGAUAACAUGGGUUUAUUAUUUUGAGCAGGGCCUCCUGUCUUGCAUCGUUCAGCAAUACAUCUCUACCAUCUCAUGUCUCAAUAUUUGGCAUUGCUUGGGAAAUUUAUAGCUG
Long non-coding RNA from Helianthus annuus (common sunflower), 580 nucleotides. RefSeq lists it as uncharacterized. The record is from RefSeq and is a predicted model, not a curated record. The transcript is spliced from 4 exons. NCBI's taxonomy places the organism in Eukaryota, Viridiplantae, Streptophyta, Magnoliopsida, Asterales, Asteraceae.